AAAAAAGUGUGAGAAAGUAUCAAAGAGGGCACAUUCAGCUGCCAUUCUGCUUUUUAAUCACCAGCUCUUGCAUGGCAGCACUUUACCACCACUGUUCUUAUAAUUCCUAUAGUGUCGCUGUUGUUUCAUGUCUCUUGGUGGUGUACAAACAGACUAGUAUAGUCCUAGAACACGUCAUAGACCGGUGUUUAAGUCAAAUGUAGUUCCUCAGUGCUACAUAAUUAAAUAUUUAAUUAUAUUCUCAUGAUUUUUUAGCUAGAUGCAUUAAAAAGACUAUGUUAUCUGGAGGGAGAAAAAAGAUGGUUAUAAAAUAGCUAUGACAUGCUUCAAGAAUAGCACCUUAUGAAAUCUUAUUUUCAGCCUAUGUUCAAAGAAAUAGUUAUAAUCCUGUAAACUUCUGGGGCCCUUGCUUCCUGUUUGGCACUUUUUCUCUACAAAUCAUUAGGUUGUUCCCAGGCUAGGGGUCGAAUUGGAGCUGUAGCUGCCUGCCUAUGCCACAGCCAUAGCAACGCAGAAUCUGAGCCAUGUAUGUGACCCACACCACAGCUCAUGGUAAUGCCAGAUCCUUAACCCACUGAGCAAGGCCAGCGAUCGAACCUGCAUUCUCAUGGAUACCAGUCAGGUUCAUUACUGCUGAGCCACGAUGGAAACUCCCCCAUUAAUCUGUGUGUAAACUGAGUUUAGUAGCUAAAUCUUGCCUUACUAUUGAUCCCUAAAAUUAAAAUUUUAAAUGAUUUUUAACUGAUACAGUAAAUUAAUAUAAAGUCCUUUACCUUUGUAUAUUGACUGGAGGUUUGCAACCUUUUGUCUUUGAUCUGCUUUUUACUGUUAUUCUUCUUUAUCUGACCAGUUUCAUUGAUUUCUUGCCCUUGGCAUACUGUAUACUACCAAACUUCUUUUUAAAGAAAUUUUGCUUUUUAAAAAAAAUUUUUUUAAGGCCACGCUUGUGUUGGGUGGAAGUUUCCGGACCAGGGAUUGAAUCAAGAUUUUGCUUUUUAAAACUAGAUUUGUGAAAGUAAUCAUUUACACUUGCUGCCAGCCCACUUCUGUAAAAGCUGCAAUCUGUCUCCUGCCGCUGGCACCUGACUGAGUAUUUAUUUGAAGUUUACUGGUGAUCCACUAAUUAAAACUCCAGUGACUUCUCUGUUCCUUUAUUUCUGCCACAUUUGAAUUUUUGACCACUUUCUCCUUGACGUUCUCAGUUCUAUCCGCUUCCCAUUGAGUACUCUUCACUCCAUCCAAUUGGGACUUUUUAUAUAUGUCUUCCUUUAAAAAAAAAAAAAAUCUUCCUUCCAUCUGGUCAUGCAAAGCCCCCACCGGAAAUAUCAGCACAUUCUCAUUUCUGCCUAUUACGGAUCCUACCUGUGCUUUUAAGACCUACUUCAUAUGUCAUCUUUCCUCUUAGCUGUUUUAAAUACUCUUUCUUAUUUCUAUAGUCAUCUGGUUUCUACCUAGAGUACUUUUAGAAUGCAUGUUUUUCUUUGACGGUAUGAUUUUGCACAGUUGUUUUUUUUUUUUUUUUUUUUUAAAUCAUGGGAGUAGAAAGGCCACCAUUGCAACUUCCUCAAUGUUGACUGUAAUCAGUAACCAUAAACACUCAUUUAAUAUGCUGUGGUAGAAAGAAUGAUGACUCCCCAGUCAUUCCUAAUCCUCAGAACCUCUGAUUAUGUUAGGUGUAACAGAUGCCAUUAAGGUUGCUAAUCAGUUGACCUUAAAACACAGAGAUUAUCCUAGAUUAUGCUGGUGGGUCCAAUAUGAUCAUAAGAAUCCUUAAAAAUGGAAAAGGGAGGCAGAAGAGAGAGUCAGAGUGAUGUAUUGUGAAAAAGAACUUGAUUAGCCCCUAUGUUAAAGAUGGAGAAAAGAGAGCCAAAAGCAAGAAUGAGAACAGCCCUUAAAAGGUGGAACAAAUCAAGAAAACAGAUUCUUCCCUUGGAGACUCCAGAAGGAAUGCAGCCUUGCUGACACCCUGAUUUUAUCCCAUCAAGACCUGUGUCAAAUUUCUGACCCACUGAACUAUAAGAUGUACAUAUUCGGAAAUUUCAGAGGCAGUGGGAUAAGGAAAAUGGGAAAAUAAAUAAACCAAUUAUUUAAAAACUUAAUUCCUUCUCAGAGAACUUACCAGUUUUGCAACAUGUCCCUGCCCCCGGUUGUUUUUCAAAUGAAUUAUGUGUAAUGUAAUCAUCCCAAGAGAGAGAGCCUUUAUAGGGUGUAUUGAUUUCCUUUUAUCGGGGCUUUGUUUCUUUCAUUUUUUUUCUUUUUUGGCUGCUCUGUGGAAUAUGAAGUUCCUGGGCCAGGGAUCAAAUCUGAACCACAUUUGCAACCUAUGCCACACCUGUAGCAAUGCCCGAUUCUUAACCCACUGUGCUGGGCCAGGGAUUGAACUUGCGUCCCAGUGCUCCCAAGAUGCUGGCGAUCCCGUUGCGCCACAGCAGGGACUCCUAUUUGGGCUUUGUAAUUUGAAAAAGUUAAGGAUACCUUGCUUAUUGAAUAAGGCAGCUGCCUAGGAGUAGGAGCUGUGAAAUGAAAAAACUAAAGCAAUUUAGUAACAAGUUAGAUAUCCUUUAUUCAAGGGAAAAUAGACUUCUGUAGGGAUUUGGGGCAAAAGCAAGUUUUAUAGAGCAUUAGAAGAGGCAGCUCAAAAACAGGGGAUGACUGGCUAGGUGCUCAGGGGGUUCCUUAUUAGGCAAGCAGGUCCUCUUUUCUAGCUACCUGACCCUGAGUGGGAGGAUUAUGAUUAGUGUGUGUUGGGUUUCCUUGACAGUGAGGUGUUGCCCCUAAGUGCAGGCUGACUUAGGUUUAGAUUUGCGAUGAUGUGGACCAGCUCAGUGGGGUCACCUCCACUUUGUAGGUCCUGAUAUAUGAAUUAACUUUAUUAGAGCCCAAUAAAUAUUAAUGGAAUCAGUAAGCAAAUGAAAUUGAGGAGUGAAUGGAGGAUGUUUUUAUUCAUUCUCCUAAGAAGUGAAUUAAGUACUUUUAACUUUUCAAAUGCACUAUAUUUUUUCCCUUCUCUGUCCUACCUUGCUUCUCCACUCUUAUACAAGUAGAAGACUUCCUUUACCUGGAACCUUCUUCCUCUUUCCCUUUGAAUAAGUUCCAGUGAUUCUUUUUUUUUUUUUUUUAAACAAGCAAGCAAAGUCUUUAUUAAAGGAAAGCAGAUAGCUCCCAGGGCUGCUGGAAGCAGGGAGAAGAGCCCCCUUUCUCUAUCAUCCUAUAGGGGUUUUUAUCCCUUAAAGAUGGGGGGAGGUACCAGUGUGGGGUCCAGAAAGAUGUGGUUUUCUCCCACUGGCCUUGUUCAAUUAUCUAUAUCAGUCCUUGUCCAAUAGGAUCUUAGGGGUGGAAAUGUCCUGAAAGUCUCAUAGUUUACAGGAGAUUAGGGAUUAAUGUCCAUCUGGGCAUAGGUACACUCCCUAUAGUAAACAAGGCCUGUGGGGAUAUUACUCCCUUGGAGCCCUUAAGCAACAGUGUUAAUCAAUGGCCAUAUCAAAAAAUGCAUCAAGGCCCAUGCUCCUACACUGACUACCUGAGUUAAUAUUCUGCCUCAAUCCCCCCUCUAGAGUUGGAGACUGUUAACCAAGCGGGGAGAAAAGGGGUGACAGCUGUUCUGGCUGCUUCCUGCUGAAAAGGGGCAUCGUUAGGGGAAAGCAAUUAGGUCUCCAGUCAUGGGAUGGUUGAGUGGGCUUUGAUACAUUACAUUGGGUACCCCUUCUAUCACCAUAUGAAGGUUGAUAGCUUCUAAUUGGGAUGUAAUGAAAUGGGAAAUACAAUUAACUAUACAGGGUCCAAAUAAUAGGAUCAAGAUCACAAUGAUGGCUGUGGUAAGGAAAUAUUUUCACCAGGAGGAGGAGGUCAACCAAUUCCAGAGGGCAGCUCCAAAAGCUGGAGUUGGAUCUGACAUCUUAUGAAUCUGUUCCUGGAGGUUUUCCUGUUUAGUAACUGAUGUCUCAAUGUCUUACUUGACUUCUGUUAAACCUUGUGGGUGCAGAUGUAUUGGAUCGGAUCUCAGACGAGCCCCCAAAAAGAUGAUACCGGAAAGAUGAUACUGGAAUCUGAGUUCUUGUUUAAGGCAGUCAAAGAAUGAACUCCGCGAACACACAGGCAGCAAGCAAGCAAAGUCUUUAUUAAAGGAAAGCAGAUAGCUCCCAGGGCUACUGGGAGGUGGGAUAAGAGCUCCCCCUCUAGUGAUUCUUAAAGUCUUGGUUUACUUUCGAAACCUUUUAGGAAGGGUCUUAAUCUCUUCACCACUUAUUGUCCCACCCGCUUUCCCACACUGGUCAGGUGCACCUGUUUGGCUUCCCCACUGCACCUUGUACUUCUGUCUUAGCCUUAACACACUGUAGUAUUAUUACCCAUUUAAUUGUCUUUCUCAUUUGACUGUAAACUCCAUGAAGUCAAGGACUAGGUCUUUUUUUGCUCACCAUUGAAUUCCCAGAGCCUGGCAUAGUGUGUAUUUGAUAAAUGUUUAUUGAAUGACAUUCAUGAAAUAUAGUAACAACCUCAGAUGUGUUAAACAUGAAACAUUUGCUCUAAAUGGAUAUAAAGUAUUGUUUUCAGGUUAUUUAUUUGCCUAUCUGUUGAAGCUCAUAACUCUACUUAGUAUUAAAUGUAAUAAUAGUUCUGUAGGCAGAAUGCAGUCUCUAGCAGUAAGAUCUACUUUUAUUUUUAAAAUGAACUGUUGAAUUUGUCCAAACUACAAACUUGACAUUUAAUCUCAGCUUAAUCUAUUUCACCUUUGUAUUUGAGAUUAAAUACUUCUUGGAAGUCGCCAUUUUACUCUUAUUUUUUAAGAAAAUUUUAUCUUUCUCUGACUUCUUCAUUGGAGUCUAGCAUUUUUACAAGCAUGAGCCUCUCAUACUAAGUGAAGUAAGUCAGAAAGAGAAACACAAAUACCAUAUGAUAUCACUUAUAUCUGGAAUCUAAUAUAUGGCACAAAUGAACCUUUCCACAGAAAAGAAACUCAUGGACUUGGAGAACAAAUUUGUGGUUGCCAAGGGGAAGGGAGAGGGAGUGGGUGGACUGGGAGUUUAGGGUUAAUAGAUGCAAACCAUUGCAUUUGGGGUGGAUAAGCAAUGAGAUCCUGCUGUAUAGCACAAGGAACUGUAUCUAGUCACUUGUGAUGGAACAUGAAGGAGGAUAAUGUGAGAAAAAAAA
Molecule: long non-coding RNA, 5148 nt
Filed under: Sus scrofa (pig)
Lineage: Eukaryota; Metazoa; Chordata; Mammalia; Artiodactyla; Suidae
Description: lncRNA (ENSSSCG00035038999.1)
Source: RNAcentral